Molecule: long non-coding RNA, 2548 nt
Organism: Canis lupus familiaris (dog)
Lineage: Eukaryota; Metazoa; Chordata; Mammalia; Carnivora; Canidae
Exons: 3
Source: RefSeq, a predicted model, not a curated record
AAGACACCUAACUACCGCGGGCCUGAAAUGAGGAAGUGCAUACCAAGGUGAACUGAUGCAAGUGCCAGUUCAAACAUCACUUUGGAGCUGUCACAAAGAACCCCCUUGCUCACCUUGCCCAGAGCCAUGAAGCAUUACAAGCAGACACACAGAACUGCAAGUAAGCUGCCUGAACAGAACAAGAGAGAACUAACCACGGCACCUGAAGUUGGGGUGUUAUUUCUUACAAAGAUGGCAAACCUGCCUUAUACAGAGCAGCUAUUCCUCCAUAUAAUGACUGGAGAUCACCAGGGAAAGGAAGAAAAGAAUGGAAGAAAAGAAUGGAAGACAGGGAUUCCACAUAUAAACAACCGCAAGGUUUCUAAAGUACAUGCUGUAAGAAAAGAGAGAUCAAGGGCCAAAAGUCAGGAAGGAGCCUGUCUAAAGGAAAGGGACCCUCUGGAUGCUGGCACAUGGGAGAAGCCAUACCCCCCCCAAAUUUAUAAUAAAUGAAUGUUGGAGUAAAUCUCUUCAUUAACCAGAUAGAGAAAGGAAUUUAUGCUCCAAAGUAAUCACUCGUCUCUUCAGCCACAAAAGCCCCAAAGACUUCGCUUCCUGAACGUUCUGUCUAAUGGGACAGACCUUUGGUGACCUGCUUAACACAAAGAUGACUUCAGCAGGUAGAUUCUACAGAGCUAGCAGCCCAAAGCAAACACACAACAACACUGCCUGGAAACCAGUGGGUGGCCUUGGCUGGUGAAAGCCCGUCCUUCAAGCAACUGAGGCAGGAGCCCAUUAAAGGUGUUAAUUUUACAUGAUGUGGCACGGCAAGUUUAUAAAUAAAUAACAAAUGAACAUUCCCCACGGUUCCUCUCCUCUGAAUUUCUGUGUACCUGCUACAGGCCUGGCAACAGCAGGAGCUGCUCAGAUGCCAGAUCCGGAAUUGCUCUUCAAAAAGUGAGGGGGGGAGGCAUUUCUGUCACCAAGACUUGAUAAGUUUUGACUCUUACAUCACUGGAUCCAGACACCUUUAAAAAAAUAACCAACUAAUCCGUCCUCUGUGGUUGGAUGUGCUCAAUUUAAGAUUAUUAUCAUGAGCUACAAGAACAAAACACAGAUGUUAGAGUUUCAGAAAAAUGUACUGUGGGGGACUAUUAGUAAAAAAUACUGUUUAAAAUAUAUAACAUAUGUAACUAUUAAAUACAUAAAAAUCCCAUGUACCAAGAGGCAAAACAUGAUGAAAGUUGUUGAAUAUUUUAAGUACCUAUAUUGCUGCAUAAAAUGGUUCUGUGCGGUAGAAUUUUCUAUUGCAGGAGAUUUAUGAAAUUUUGUCAAAGUGGUAGAUCAUGCUGAAGUCAGGGGAAAUACUAGCACACUUUAGGUUGCUUUCUAUUUUUAAUUAAGUUUGAAACUGCAUCUUUGCACUUGUGAGUGUGCAUAUAAAUAUAUGUAAGUGCAGAUGUGAUUAACAAUAAUGCUGAUCUAUGCAGACAUUCAAAUUCACUCACAAAAUGACCCCCUCCCAUUACAGAGCAAAUUACUUAAUUGAGGCUGGGUCUGUGUAAUCAGAACAAACUGGAAAGAGAAUGGUCAAAUUUGACCAGCGUGGUUCACUCUCACUUAUUUUAGCAGCCAAAGGAGGCAGGAAUUAAACAAGCCCUAUAGGGUGUUGACCUGGAUUUCCAAUCAGAGAUGAGCCAUGAAGACUAAAUAUUAUGGUGCUUGUCCUGUUUACCCAUGUCCAUAAAGAUGGAGACCACUGAGCUUGGGUGGUUGACUAAAGGCCAUCUAAUGCUUAUUUGGAGGGAAAAGUUUCAAAGGGACCCUUAAGAAUUAACUGGGGUCUAAUUUAUUCAGGAUCCAAACUAUCAAGCUAGUAUUAUCAACAAUGGAGUCAAAGGCAAAUAACCAGAUCAAAUGCACAGCAGUGAAAGUCUACAAUGGAGAAAGCAAAGAAAUAAAGAGAAAUAAACACAACACAAGCAGUAAACUCUAGACAAAACCCGGUUCACCUUAAGCUCUCCUCUAUCUCUGCCCCACCUCCAUUUCUCUGGACCAACCUCUUCCAAUUUCCACUGCACCUGCAGCCUAUAACCUAGCACAUAUAACCUAGCAUGUCAUUAUAUACUUUUCUGUCCUGUUCAUGUUGUUUUAUAUGUAACUGUUCUCAUCCUAACUAGAUUUAAAUUCUAUUUGGAGGUGGUAAUUAUAUCUCAUAUCUGUAUUUCCCUCAGGGCCUAGCACAGCUUUAUGCACAUUAAAAGUUUCAGCAAUUGCUCAUUGGUUUAGUCAAUAUGAAGUCGUUCUUGCUCUCCAGCAAGGAUUGAUAGCAAAUGCCUUCAAUUCUUCCUCCAUCAUAUUGCAUUGACACCUGUUGCAGUGUUCCUACAAAAUCCAUAAAUGUAUAUACUAAAAUAUAUGAGGAUAUUUUUCUAUUUAUUAUGCACUUUGUUCUAUAACCUUUUUUACACACCAUACCUAUAGAUUCAACUCAUGCUUUCUAAUAGCUGGUAAAAUUCCAUCGUGUGGUUGUAUCACAAUUAAUUUAGUCAUUUCCCUUGUUGCCAUU